Long non-coding RNA from Fukomys damarensis (Damara mole-rat), 1826 nucleotides. RefSeq lists it as uncharacterized. The transcript is spliced from 3 exons. The record is from RefSeq and is a predicted model, not a curated record. NCBI's taxonomy places the organism in Eukaryota, Metazoa, Chordata, Mammalia, Rodentia, Bathyergidae.
GGGACACAGGAUGGCCGAGGAACAAUAACUCUUCAGUGCAGGCGCUGAGUGUCUUCCCGAGAGAGGUAGAGCCAGGAAUGCCAAGCCCAGUGGAUCCUUGGUUGACCACCACAGUCAGUUCCCAAUCUGCCUCAUGUCAGUGCAGCAGAGACCCAGCUGCUGCCCCUUAGAGAGAUUCCUACUGGCAAUUCCAAACUGCAAUCAACUGAGUUUGAAGAUAUUACAAAUAUGCUUCUACAAAGGCAAAGGUUUUCUACAAGGCACCAAGUGCUCUUUAGAAAAGCUGAGAAGCCUUUGUUAAGAGUCUGGCUCCCUGUGUCUGUGCUGUACAGCUGCUAGUGUAACAAACACAUCACCUCCUCCCUGAAAUUUACUUGGACUCUGGCACAACUAUUCAGGAAGAAAUCAUUGAAGCGACACUCUGAGGAAACACAUUCAAAAUCUGAUCUCGCAUUUUGAUGAUCUGGUGGAAGAUUUUCUCUGGCUUUUAAGUAGCUGUGUUCCUAUGAAGCCAGUCAUCUUUUCCUGACUCACCAAUCCCCCAGAGUCCAGCAGAAAGCUGGAGACAGCAGCUUCCAUCCUGGCAGUCCAUCAGUGGAGACACAUCCUCCCCUGCACAGCUGUGCUCACAGGAAUGAACACUAAGGAGAAGCAGCAAGGGUCUAUCUUCCAUGUGAAACCGGACACAUGCAGAUGAAAAGUUUUGUUUUCUCAGUGAGGGAAAAAAAUCCAAAACUAUCAAGUCACAGUGUUGUUAAAAACCUAGUGGGAUUAGGAUGAUACUUUAAUCAAAACUAAAUUCAAAAUGUCCUCGGUCGAAAAUUGUUUAAACUCUAUCUUAUCUUCUUGUAAUAACACUUUGCAAAAUAUAAAACAUUAUAUUCUACAGUUUCUUCAUUUGGACCCAGACUACUUAGAGACUUCUGACUCUGUUACUUAGUUUUUAAGCUUAGGCAAUGAAAUACACUAGACCUGAUUGUUUUCUGUGGACUUGGAAGAAAACUAUAGCACCCUCAUAGAAGUAAAGGGAAAGCUAAAUCAGUUAAUAUAUGAGAAGACUGAAAUAGUACGUGGCUCACCACAAAAGGCCACAGUAAUAGAUGCUGAAAAGGAGUAGAUCAAUAGUAAUAGACACACUCCUUUGUCAUUGUCAUUGUUACUGUGGUUUCCUUUGUCCUGGUCAUCACAUCACCGUCAUCAUCACCAUCAUCAUCGUCAUCAUCAUCAUCAUCAUCAUCUUCACAUCAUAUAUCAGCUUGCUGAAUUUCUACAACAAAACUAUGAAGAACCUUAAUCAGCUUUUCCCACAGUAUAGAUAACAAAAACUAAGAUACAUAUAAUAAAAAAGACUGUGCUUUCCAACUACCUGGAGUGGACCCAUGAGCAGAACGCCACAGUUUUCACCCACAGUGCCCCUCGAAGCCCCUUGCGAGGGAUGGAUGUAGCCCCAUUUGGAGCUCCUUUUCUGCUGCCUGUACCAUUUUCCUCAACAAUGACUGCAAAUCUCAUUUCCUCCCAGAGUCCAUUCUCCUCUCUGCCUGAACUGGCUGCACAUUCAAGGAGCACGCUGUGUUCAUAAUUUCUUCCACCCUAAAUGUUACAUACCAGUCUUUUCACUCACCUCUUUUGACUGCAAAGCAUUUCACACAUCCCUGUUGUCAUUGCUGAAUUCUGUCUAGUAAUUUCCUGCUCUAGCCAGAAGGACCACAUGACCCUUCUCCUGCAGGAACUAACCCCCAGGGCUUCUGUGGGGCUCACUGGCAGGCUCCUUCUCUUUCCUUCCAUGUCUCUUGCCCUUCUUGCCUUCUCUUUCUUUUCCUUUCUCU